Molecule: ribosomal RNA, 206 nt
Filed under: uncultured bacterium
Lineage: Bacteria
Description: partial 16S ribosomal RNA
Rfam family: Bacterial small subunit ribosomal RNA
Source: RNAcentral
UGCGUAGGCGGGUUUCUAAGUCAGAGGUGAAAGCCUGGAGCUCAACUCCAGAACUGCCUUUGGUACUGGAAGUCUUGAGUAUGGCAGAGGUGAGUGGAACUGCGAGUGUAGAGGUGAAAUUCGUAGAUAUUCGCAAGAACACCAGUGGCGAAGGCGGCUCACUGGGCCAUUACUGACGCUGAGGCACGAAAGCUGGGGAGCAAACA